GGAGUGGUGGUCGAGAGGCUGAAGGCGCCGGGCUGUAAACCCGGAUCGAGAGACGCGUAGGUUCGAAUCCUACCCACUCCACCA
This 84-nucleotide transfer RNA is filed under the name Pseudomonas fluorescens. Its description in RNAcentral is "tRNA-Tyr". It matches the Rfam family "tRNA". From Rfam's summary of the family: Transfer RNA (tRNA) molecules are approximately 80 nucleotides in length. RNAcentral also lists the same sequence under 3 other names. The record is from RNAcentral. Lineage: Bacteria; Pseudomonadati; Pseudomonadota; Gammaproteobacteria; Pseudomonadales; Pseudomonadaceae.